Molecule: RNA transcript, 1355 nt
Organism: Cucumis sativus (cucumber)
Lineage: Eukaryota; Viridiplantae; Streptophyta; Magnoliopsida; Cucurbitales; Cucurbitaceae
Exons: 4
Source: RefSeq, a predicted model, not a curated record
GUUUGUAGUCAUGAAAGUACCACCUUAUUUUGUCAAAGGUGUCUAUAUAUAUAUCUUGUUAUAUUUUUUUGCUAGUGUACAUAAGGAGAAAAAAAAAAGAAAACGAAAAAGGAUGGUAGUUAGUUUGGUGAAGGCUUGUGAAGGCUUGUGGAGGAAGAAAGUGUUUGGGCCAAAGAGAUUGGAACGGUAUAAAUGAAUCUCAACGGCCUAGGUAUUGAGAAGAGAAGGCUUGAUGACAUAUACACCAUUUAUUGCAAGAACUUGAAGAAGAUGAGAUAUUGGUUGUUGAAGUUGAGAGCAUGUAUGUUGAUCUUUUUAGUUAUGUGGAACUUCAUUUUUUAUUUUAGAUAUCAAGAAUACAAGUCAAAGUAUAUUACAACACAUAAACAAGCCUUUUUCUCACAAGGAUGAAGAAUGGUACUUCUUGUCUUUUUACUUCCAGAUUUUCUUUCCUUUUGUUAUUCCCCCUAAUUCAAUCUCUUUUGCCUAAUUAGGUUGGGAGACAAAUAUGAUCCAACCAAGGGUUGCACAGUUAUAGUUGUUUGAUUUUGUAGGAAUGUAAUUUCUGGAUGUAACUUCAUACUUAGAACCGAUUGAUUCUUACAAUUUAGUAUUUUUUUUUCUCCAUAUUUAUGUUAUGAAAUUUAUUGGUUGUGGUAUAGAGAGUUAAGUAGUAGUUCCCCAAUAUUUUGGGUUUCUACUUUGAGUUGGCUAGUUUAUGGUCCUAGAUCCUAGUAAAAAUUUUAUCUUUCUUUUGCCUUUAUAAAAACAUGUUUAUAUUUGUAUAGAUACUACUUUAUUUUGUAAUUUGGAAUUGAUAUAGAGUAUAGUUAGAUUUUGGUUUGUUAAUGGAGGAAGAAAAUAAAGAAUUAAAAGCUUGGAACUUCAUGCAUCUUUUUCUCUCACUCUUUUCUUGGUGAAUGUAUUCAAGUCUUGAAGAUUAUGUAGCAGAGUACUACCAGCAGCAGGUAGAAAGGCUUGUUCCGUACUUAUUUUAAAGAGUUGAAGAUAACAAUCGAUGAGACAUUGAGCUUUGAGUUAUGUGAGAGUUCUUUUUUAACUGAGGUAACUCUCUCUCCCUUGUUUCUUAAUUCUCUCCCUUUGCUUUCCAAAUUGCCUCCCAGGCCAUCUUGCCAUUGUGAAAUACUAUUGGAAUGUGAGUUUAUUGGAAGUUUAAUAGGUAACUGCUUAGAUUCUUCUGCUAAAGUUCAAAAUGUCCACACCUCCAAGGAAUAACUCACGGUAACACUCUUAUCUCCAUUUCUAUAUAUGAAUCUUUGACCCUUUUCUUUUCUUCUCUUAUCAUUUAUGUUUUUCCUCUCUUUUGGCCUUAUGGUUUCUGAGUUUUCCUUGGA